RNAcentral lists this ribosomal RNA (505 nucleotides) under uncultured bacterium. RNAcentral describes it as "partial 16S ribosomal RNA". It matches the Rfam family "Bacterial small subunit ribosomal RNA", at positions 28 to 507 of the family's 1533-position model. The record is from RNAcentral.
GACGAACGCUGGCGGCGUGCCUAAUACAUGCAAGUAGAACGCACAGUUUAUACCGUAGCUUGCUACACCAUAGACUGUGAGUUGCGAACGGGCGAGUAACGCGUAGGUAACCUGCCUGGUAGCGGGGGAUAACUAUUGGAAACGAUAGCUAAUACCGCAUAAUAUUAAUUAUUGCAUGAUAAUUAAUUGAAAGGUGCAAUUGCACCACUACCAGAUGGACCUGCGUUGUAUUAGCUAGUAGGUGAGGUAACGGCUCACCUAGGCGACGAUACAUAGCCGACCUGAGAGGGUGAUCGGCCACACUGGGACUGAGACACGGCCCAGGCUCCUACGGGAGGCAGCAGUAGGGAAUCUUCGGCAAAGGACGGAAGUCUGAACGAGCAACGCCGCGGGAGGGAAGAAGGGUGUCGGGUCGGAAAGCUCUGUUGUAAGGGAAGAACGGGUGUGAGAGUGGAAAGUUCACACUGUGACGGUAUCUUACCAGAAAGGGACGGCUAACUACGUG